Molecule: ribosomal RNA, 1048 nt
Filed under: Cycloporus japonicus
Lineage: Eukaryota; Metazoa; Platyhelminthes; Polycladida; Euryleptidae
Description: eukaryotic LSU rRNA
Rfam family: Eukaryotic large subunit ribosomal RNA
Source: RNAcentral
CCAGGCUAGAUAGUUACAGCAAGACGGUAUAAACUCCUUCCAAAGUUAGUGACACCCCUGAGGGGCGUACUGGUGGAACUGAAAUGGUCCCGAGGAAUUCAGCCGUUGGGGCUGGCACAGCUGGCGGUGUCUGAUCUAACGACAGCUCCGUCGGUUGACGCUGAUCUCAUAGGUGCACUUUCCUCGCUCUGGACCGGACCACGACCGGUGAGCUGAUUUGACUGUCGUGCCUGGAAGGUAGCGCCAUCCUCGGAAGGCGUAUUAUAGACAGGUGCACGGUUGAGCGGCGCACUGGAUGAUAAUGCCUGCCCUUUUGGGCUCAUAUGUUGGUUGUUUCGUUGGCGAGUGCUGGCUUCACUACUUCGGUAGAGGAGUUGGCCUCUGUUGGCUUUACGGCUGGCCUCUAUGAUUGGCAUUGGUAAGUCUGUGGUUGUGAAGUAGGUAGUCCACCUGACCCGUCUUGAAACACGGACCAAGGAGUCUAACAUGUGCGCGAGUCAUUGGGUUCACGAAACCUAAAGGCGCAGUGAAGGUAAAGACCUGCUUUCGCAGGUUGAGGUGGGAUGCUGGGUUACGCGCCCGGCCGCACUACCGGCCCGUUCUACAUGUAUCUCAUGGGAGCGGAGCAAGAGCGUACACGUUGGGACCCGAAAGAUGGUGAACUAUGCUUGCGCAGGUCGAAGCCAGAGGAAACUCUGGUGGAGGACCGCAGCGAUUCUGACGUGCAAAUCGAUCGUCAAACGUGAGUAUAGGGGCGAAAGACUAAUCGAACUAUCUAGUAGCUGGUUCCCUCCGAAGUUUCCCUCAGGAUAGCUGGCACUCGGGAAAUUAAACAGUUUUAUCCGGUAAAGCGAAUGAUUAGAGGUAUUGGGACGAAACUGCUCUCAACCUAUUCUCAAACUUUAAAUGGGUAAGAUGCCAGACUCGCUUAAUUGGAGCCUGGCUUUGCUGAAUGUGAGCGCCCAGGGGUCCAUCCAGGCAAGCAGAGAUGCCGACAGCGGGGCGGUGUAAACUCCAUCCAAGGCUAGAUACAGACAGCAUGACGGUA